UACCGGAGGGAGGCGGGCGGAGGUGGGGAGAAGGGUACCCCUAGUCCUUCCACUCUCCUCAUUCGUCCAGGGACACCCAGAUCCCCUGUUCCUCCUUUCCCCCAACACGCAGGCCCCUUCUGUCCGGCGGCGGCUCCAGAGCAAGUUAGGUCGUCCUGCCUCCCCACAUCGUAGUCACACCUAAUGACGGGAACGGGAUGAGACCGAGCGGAUGGCCAGCAGGCAGUGGAACAGAAACCUUCCUCACGUCCUAGUGAGGAAAAUGAGAGCCUCCCAGCUGGACACUCCAGUUCCCAGCUCCCCUGCUGCAAGGUGUGGCCAGAGCGGAAUGUGAGCCGAGUAAUAUCAAAGCCUUAAGACGCUGGGUAAAUUCUCCUUUUUCUGAGCUGGACCAGAUGCACCUGAGCCUGAGCUUUGACUGCAAUUGAGGAGAAAUCCCUAAGAGGGGACAAAGCCACAAUCUGAUUGGAACCCAAGUUCCUGACUGACCAGGUGGAGCAGAGCUGCCUGCCGUCCAGGACUGCUCCCUUCCAGACUGUUCCGUGAGAAAUAAACUUGUUUUCUAGA
Long non-coding RNA from Eptesicus fuscus (big brown bat), 567 nucleotides. RefSeq lists it as uncharacterized. Lineage: Eukaryota; Metazoa; Chordata; Mammalia; Chiroptera; Vespertilionidae. The record is from RefSeq and is a predicted model, not a curated record. The transcript has 3 exons.